UACGUAGGGCGCAAGCGUUGUCCGGAAUUAUUGGGCGUAAAGAGCUCGUAGGCGGUUUGUCGCGUCUGCUGUGAAAGCCCGGGGCUCAACCCCGGGUCUGCAGUGGGUACGGGCAGACUAGAGUGCAGUAGGGGAGACUGGAAUUCCUGGUGUAGCGGUGAAAUGCGCAGAUAUCAGGAGGAACACCGAUGGCGAAGGCAGGUCUCUGGGCUGUUACUGACGCUGAGGAGCGAAAGCAUGGGGAGCGAACAGGAUUAGAUACCCUUGUAGUCC
RNAcentral lists this ribosomal RNA (273 nucleotides) under uncultured bacterium. RNAcentral describes it as "partial 16S ribosomal RNA". It matches the Rfam family "Bacterial small subunit ribosomal RNA", at positions 524 to 796 of the family's 1533-position model. The record is from RNAcentral.